UACGAAGGUGGCAAGCGUUACUCGGAAUUACUAGGCGUAAAGGGCAGGUAGGUGGUUUGGUUAGUCUGUUGUGAAAGCUCCUUGCUCAACGGGGAGAGGUCAACAGAUACUGCCAAGCUUGAGUAUAGGAGAGGGUACUGGAAUUCCCGGUGUAGCGGUGAAAUGCGCAGAGAUCGGGAGGAACACCAAUGGCGAAAGCAGGUACCUGGACUAAUACUGACACUCAGCUGCGAAAGCUAGGGGAGCAAACAGG
RNAcentral lists this ribosomal RNA (253 nucleotides) under uncultured bacterium. RNAcentral's name for it is "partial 16S ribosomal RNA". It matches the Rfam family "Bacterial small subunit ribosomal RNA", at positions 524 to 776 of the family's 1533-position model. The record is from RNAcentral.